CCUACGGUGUGCAGCAGUGGGGGAUAUUGCACAAUGGGGGAAACCCUGAUGCAGCGACGCCGCGUGUGGGCAGACGGUCCUCUGGAUUGUAAACCACUGUCCCCAGGGACGCCGAUGACGGUACCUGGGGAGGAAGCUCCGGCUAACUACGUGCCAGCAGCCGCGGUAAUACGUAGGGAGCAAGCGUUGUCCGGAAUUACUGGGUGUAAAGGGAGCGUAGGCGGGAUGGCAAGUUGUGUGUUAAAUCUACCGGCUCAACUGGUAGUCGCACUCAAAACUGCUAUUCUUGAGUGAAGUAGAGGCAGGCUGAAUUCCUAGUGUAGCGGUGAAAUGCGUAGAUAGUAGGAGGAACACCAGUGGCGAAGGAGGCCUGCUGGGCUUUUACUGACGCUGAGGCUCGAAAGUGUGGGGAGCAAACAGGAUUAGAUACCCGGGUAGUC
This 440-nucleotide ribosomal RNA is filed under the name uncultured bacterium. RNAcentral's name for it is "partial 16S ribosomal RNA". It matches the Rfam family "Bacterial small subunit ribosomal RNA", at positions 338 to 795 of the family's 1533-position model. The record is from RNAcentral.